GAUCCUGUAGCUCAGCCCGGUUAGAGCACUGCUCUGAUAAGGCAGGGGUCCCAAGUUCAAAUCUUGGCAGGAUCA
RNAcentral lists this transfer RNA (75 nucleotides) under Candidatus Pacearchaeota archaeon CG10_big_fil_rev_8_21_14_0_10_31_24. RNAcentral describes it as "tRNA-Ile". It matches the Rfam family "tRNA". From Rfam's summary of the family: Transfer RNA (tRNA) molecules are approximately 80 nucleotides in length. Their secondary structure includes four short double-helical elements and three loops (D, anti-codon, and T loops). The record is from RNAcentral. Lineage: Archaea; Nanobdellati.